RNAcentral lists this ribosomal RNA (498 nucleotides) under uncultured bacterium. Its description in RNAcentral is "partial 16S ribosomal RNA". It matches the Rfam family "Bacterial small subunit ribosomal RNA", at positions 29 to 523 of the family's 1533-position model. The record is from RNAcentral.
AGUGAACGCUGGCGGUAGGCCUAACACAUGCAAGUCGAACGGCAGCACGGGGCAACCUGGUGGCGAGUGGCGAACGGGUGAGUAAUGCAUCGGAACGUACCUUUCAGUGGGGGAUAACGUAGCGAAAGUUACGCUAAUACCGCAUCUUCUGUGAGCAGGAAAGCAGGGGAUCGCAAGACCUUGCGCUGAUUGAGCGGCCGGUGUCAGAUUAGCUAGUUGGUGAGGGAAAGGCUCACCAAGGCGACGAUCUGUAGCGGGUCUGAGAGGAUGAUCCGCCACACUGGAACUGAGACACGGGCCAGACUCCUACGGGAGGCAGCAGUGGGGAAUUUUGGACAAUGGGGGCAACCCUGAUCCAGCCAUGCCGCGUGAGUGAAGAAGGCCUUCGGGUUGUAAAGCUCUUUCGGCCGGGAAGAAAUCGCACGGGCUAAUACCCUGUGUGGAUGACGGUACCGGAAUAAGAAGCACCGGCUAACUACGUGCCAGCCGCCGCAGUAA